GACGAAGGGGGCUAGCGUUGUUCGGAAUUACUGGGCAUAAAGCGCGUGUAGGCGGUUGUUCAAGUCAGGUGUGAAAGCCUUGAGCUCAACUCAAGAAAUGCACUUGAUACUGGAUGACUAGAGGACCGGAGAGGAUAGUGGAAUUCCCAGUGUAGUGGUGAAAUACGUAGAGAUUGGGAAGAACACCAGUGGCGAAGGCGGCUAUCUGGACGGUUUCUGACGCUAAGACGCGAAAGCGUGGGGAGCAAACAGG
RNAcentral lists this ribosomal RNA (253 nucleotides) under uncultured bacterium. Its description in RNAcentral is "partial 16S ribosomal RNA". It matches the Rfam family "Bacterial small subunit ribosomal RNA", at positions 524 to 776 of the family's 1533-position model. The record is from RNAcentral.